Molecule: ribosomal RNA, 443 nt
Filed under: uncultured bacterium
Lineage: Bacteria
Description: bacterial SSU rRNA
Rfam family: Bacterial small subunit ribosomal RNA
Source: RNAcentral
CCUANGUGGGGCAGCAAUUAGGAAUCUUGCACAAUGGGCGAAAGCCUGAUGCAGCGACGCCGCGUGAAGGAUGAAGGCCUUCGGGUUGUAAACUUCUUUUAUCGGGGAAGAAAAAAAUGACGGUACCUGAUGAAUAAGCCCCGGCUAACUACGUGCCAGCAGCCGCGGUAAUACGUAGGGGGCGAGCGUUGUCCGAAGUUACUGGGCGUAAAGCGCGCGUAGGCGGACCUUUAAGUCGGGGGUGAAAUCUCAAGGCUCAACCUUGAAACUGCCUUCGAAACUGGAGGACUUGAGGUAUGGAGAGGGAAGUGGAAUUCCUGGUGUAGCGGUGAAAUGCGUAGAUAUCAGGAGGAACACCCGUGGCGAAGGCGGCUUCCUGGUCAUAUCCUGACGCUGAGGUGCGAAAGCUAGGGGAGCGAACGGGAUUAGAUACCCUANUANUC